Molecule: non-coding RNA, 90 nt
Organism: Mycena capillaripes
Lineage: Eukaryota; Fungi; Basidiomycota; Agaricomycetes; Agaricales; Mycenaceae
Source: the annotation of a GenBank genome assembly
UCCGAAUUGGUGUAGGGGUUAACAUUGCCGCCUCUCAGUCUUACGUAAUCUGAAACGCGGCAGCCCGGGGUUCGAUUCCCCGAUUCGGAA